GACGAACGCUGGCGGCGUGCUUAACACAUGCCAGUCGAACGGGUCUGCCCUGUUUUUUGCGGGGUGGGUCAGUGGCGAACGGGUGAGUAACACGUGAGUAACCUGCCCCUCACUUCUGGAUAACCGCUUGAAAGGGUGGCUAAUACGGGGUGUUCUGGCUGUGCCGCAUGGUGUGGCUGGGAAAGAUUCACUUUUGUGGUGUUUUGGUGGGGGAUGGGCUCGCGGCCUAUCAGCUUGUUGGUGGGGUGAUGGCCUGCCAAGGCUUUGACGGGUAGCCGGCCUGAGAGGGUGGGCGGUCACACUGGGACUGAGAUACGGCCCAGACUCCUGCGGGAGGCAGCAGUGGGGGGUAUUGCACAAUGGGCGGAAGCCUGAUGCAGCGACGUCGCGUGAGGGAUGGAGGCCUUCGGGUUGUGAACCUCUUUCGCCGGUGAAGAAGGUCCUGCUCUUUGUGGUGGGGUUGACGGUAGCCGGGUUAUGAAGCGCCGGCUAACUACGU
This 499-nucleotide ribosomal RNA is filed under the name uncultured bacterium. RNAcentral's name for it is "partial 16S ribosomal RNA". It matches the Rfam family "Bacterial small subunit ribosomal RNA", at positions 28 to 506 of the family's 1533-position model. The record is from RNAcentral.